CACAGCUGGAUGAGGCCUUAGUGACCAUGUGGUCCUACAACCACUUCCCUUUUACAGUUUUAAGGAGAGAGAGAGAGAGAGAGAGAGAGAGAGAGAGAAAGUAACUGAUAUCAGGCCACACAGUAACCCAGGUGUGGAGCCAUGAUGAGAACCCCACCGCUUUCCCAUUGGGACAGGACACACGCUGUCUCCCUGCAUUGGCUCCUUGAUCCCUAGCCCGCUUCUGUCUUUGCCCUUAGACUCCAUCUUGGUGUCUACCUUGAUCUUCCAGUGUGAGCCUUUUCUAACCACCUGUGCUCCAAAGACUCAGGCUCCACCCAGUCAUCAUCCAGCAGAAUAAGUGCUGCAGUGGGCAGGCUUACAAUUCCUCCUUCCCUGGGUUCCAUCUGUGAUGCACUCUUCAGACAGCAUCAUCAUAAUGCUCGAUUCAACCAGGAAACAAUUGGAAAACUUCAAACAGCAUAUGUAAUAGGCAAGUACAAGAGAGAAAACUAUGAAAGCAAAGAUUCCAUCAGCUUCCCAGAGAAGGGAUUUCUUAACACGUCACACAGGAGCCCUUCCAUCCAGGUAUCCAUACGUAACUAGAAGGGUUUUUAGCUCUGGAUUUUGUGAAGAAAACACAGGUAUUUGCUGAGAAUGAAGAGGUCUACACUGCUGCGAUGAAAAAGCUCUGUCUUUAUUGGGCAUAAUUAUUUAUAACAAACCAUCCAUACAGUAGAUUAUGAUACCAGAUGAUAAAAUAAGCAAUAACUCAAAAGUAUAAGAAUAACCUUUCACCAUUGUGGUUAAGGAAACAUCUUGGGUCUGGUCAGGAUUCUUCCCCAGGUGUGAGGGGCUGCUCUGGGGACACACUGCCUUGGCCGCAGUUCACUUCCACUCCUUGCCUACCAAUAAUGGAAAACUCCGGGAUUUGCCUCUUAUCUUCACUGGUUCUUUCUAAUGACCUUUAUGGAUACACUUACUUCUCUCCAAAAUGCUAAGAAUGUACAGUCCUUGCUUCUCACUGCCCUUCUUGUUCAUGGGGUGACCAGGCAGUCCUGCCGCACUUGAUUUGGCUGACUUUAAGUGUUCUGCAUCUGGGGCCUUUCUGAUGUCUGCCAUGUUAUUCCAUGGGUAGGUUCUGUGAUAUGUUCUCCACUGUGCGCUGGGAAAGGCAUGAUAUACUACAUCUGGCAGAAAAGUCACUUCCUACCUUGAAGCCCGUAAUGAAUUGGAAUCCCCCCGUGAGGCAGAAGCUAGGACACCAUGGCGCUUCUUGUGUAGCAGCACAGUUCAGAACACUACCAUUCAAAGCCAUUCCAUGUCAGGCACAUAAUG
Molecule: long non-coding RNA, 1317 nt
Organism: Neofelis nebulosa (Clouded leopard)
Lineage: Eukaryota; Metazoa; Chordata; Mammalia; Carnivora; Felidae
Exons: 4
Source: RefSeq, a predicted model, not a curated record